UCUUUCCCCUCUACUCUGCCCUGGUGAGGCAACAUCUGGAGUACUGUGUGCUGUUACGGGCUUCCCAGUUCAAGAAAGACAGGGUACUACUGGAGAGUCCAGCGGAGGGCUACAAAGAUGAUUAGGGACCUGGAGCAUCACUCUUAUGAGGGAAGGAUGAGAGAUCUCGGACUGUUUAGCCUGGAGAAGAUGGAGAGGGGAUCUGUUCAACACUUACAAAUAUCUAGAGGGCAGGUGUCAAGAGGAUGGGGCCCAAUUCCUUUCAGUGAUGCCCAGCAACAGGACAAGGAGCAACACGCAUAUACUGGAACACAGGAAGUUCCGUCUCAUGACAAAAAACUUAUUGACUGUAAGGGUCAGAGCCGUAGAACAAUCUGGUUUUUGGAGUCCCCUUCUCUGGAGAUAUUCAGUCCCCAUCUGGAUACUUUCCUGUGCAAUCAACUCUAAAGAAUCUGCUUUAGCAGAGGGGUUGGACUGGAUGAUCUCCUACGGUCCCUUACAACUCCUACAAUUCUGUGACUCUGUGAUGAAAUAAUUUGAUAAUAAAUGAGAAUUAGAACAAAAACUGACUUAAGCAUGGAAAAUACAGACUGGUAUUUAUAGCACUUACACAUACACACAUAUCUAUAGGUAUAUCAUGAAACAAAUGAGGCAGAAUAGCUAAUGUUACCAGGUAGGCAUAAUGAGUAUCUCAAGUACAUACCAAGAAUGGUUUCUGAAAACAGAAGGCAAAGUACUUUCAGCAGGUGGUAUCAUUACUCGUAAAUGGUGUGCAUAUGCAUCUCUCCCUGCUUUAAACCUUACUGUUAUUGGAAGCUUUCAAGUAGUGAUGAUAUCUUAGUUGUCCCACGUCAUUUCUCACCUCAAACUGAUCAGAAUGUUGAUGUAAUGGUAAUUAUAGGGCUCUUGGGCUGCUCUUGCUAUGUAUGUUAGAGACAACUGCUUGCAAAGCAGCCCUCAGAUCACAGCAGAUCAAAGCAGCUUUAAUCCAUCCACAACCAUCACAAGCACACCUCUGUGAUUUGUGACUGCGCACAAAAAUCUGGCAUUCAAUUUCCUUGAGGCCCAAAUUUGAGACAUAUUAAUCUCCUUCAUUUCAUCGGGUGUUCAAAUGAUUUGCAUCUUAAAGGUCAGGUCCUGAGCAGCUGACAUUACCCUCCCAUACACUAGGUUUUCAGAAAUUAUAGCCAUCUGCAGCAAAAAUCCUGCAACAAGAAAAAUCAGGUAAAAUGAUUACAGAAGAUUACAGAAGCAAAAAAGAUGUGAAGAUGGAUGAAGAAACAGAAAGGAGAUAAAUAAUAUUGCCUAAAUAGCAAAGCUUGUUCAAAAUGAAUGAUUAGACUCAGUUACCGGCGUCUUUACAGGAAUGUGACAAAGUACAAUCCAAGUAUCAUUUAGAAUAGUUUAUGAACUAGAGAAAUAUGUUUAAAAAAUAGCUUAGAAACAUACAGUUCAAAGACGUAGUAUGGUAAGUAAAUCUCUUGGCAUUUUUUUAAUUCAUCCUAGCCUUGCAACCUCCUGUUUCACAAGUAAGAAUCCUGCUCUCCAACCUUCAGUGACAAUGAGUGUCGAUCAAAAAGUCAUCUUUCACUGUGCCCUAGAAUCUGCCCUGUCCAGCUUGCUGUUUUUGCUAGCCUCCAUGGAAGACAAAGCAGAGAAAAUAUCUUUUAUACUCUACCAGCAUAUAAACUAACUUUCCAAGAACCUUUGUCAGACAUAAAUCUCCCUGGAUCUCAUAGCUAUAUUUAAAAUAACAACAAAAAUAUAAAUAGUAAUGAAAUACUAUUUUGUAUCUCUGUGGCAUCAUUUAGUUGUUGAUACCAAACAUUUUGCAAUUAGACAUUACUUGCAGUACGAGAAACUUAAAAGAAUGAAAGCUAUUGGUUUGAUACUGGCAAUGCAAAGAGGUCAUAUUUUGGGUGUAAACAUUAAUUUAUUAAAUUUUUCAGACAGUUGGAGUAGAUCAACACCUAUUUUCACCAGAAGUUACCAGAUGCUAGAGUGACUCACUCUGGAUAGAAGAGCAGAUUGUCCUAAAAAAAACUUAUUACCAAGGGGAGACAGAUUUUAGAAUGUAAGAACAACAAAGAGACAGCUGCACUAUGCUGGUUAUGGAGCUAAACAUCUGAAUUUUCUGAAGUGAACCUGAACUCUGUCCAAUACACGUCCAAUACGUGCUGAGGUUAGGUAUGGGAAUUGCACUUAGCAAUAUUUUCUCUAACCACUCUGCAAAAAAUGUUUAUUUAAGCAUGAAAUCUGUUCCUUAACUUUGCUCCUAACAUGAACAAGAGUAUGUAGGUUGUGACAACGUUUUUGUUCCACAAAUUUACCUGCUCAAGAUCUUUAGCUGUACAGCAAAGUAUACUGCACAUUCAUGGGAAAAACCUGCAUCAUUUUCAUAGUCUUAUCAGACCUAUAAUACAAACAUCUUUAUUUGAACCGUGUAUUGAAAAUCACAGCUGAACAAUAAGCUCCACUCUUUAACAUAUGAGCCCUGCAACAAUUUCAAAGGCUUUUUGGAGACUGCAUAUAUAUAUUUAUUGAUAAUUUUAUUUCUAGAGUUAUGCUUUCCACAGGACCUCAAGUCACUGGAGGUGAUAACUAGUGACUUUAUGGUGACCUUGGAAGGACAGGAGAAUUUAUGUGUUGCUGCACAGCAUGAAGCAAAAUAGCUGGGAAGUGAAACAGUGGAAAAGUGGUACAAUUCAGACUUUGAUGCACAUGUGUAUGUGCAUAAAGGCUGAUUCCUGGGACAUUUGUGAAGAUAAAGGAUGCUCUUCGGUGGAUUAUGAACCCCCAUCAGUAGAAGGUACCAACUCAAAGUAGAAACAAAGAAAGGACAGAGAGCAACUCCACAGAACUGACAAAAAAUUAACUCAAAAAUUUCCCUCAAGAAGUCGACACCAAAUGUAAGAAACUACACAAGCUACCUGCCGGGAACGGGGCUCAGUGAAGUUAAACAGAGAUGUCUUCUACCUAAUUUAAGAAAACAGUGCCCUAAGAAGACACACUUGUUUCUUUUACCCUCUUUUCCUUGUAGUUCAAAGAGUUUAAAGAACUCUGAAAAUGAGCGGUCUGUUUGUGACAGGAAGCAGAAUAAAAGUGGAAAGACAAAAUGUCUCUAUUGGAAAUGAGCUGAGGGAGAAGGAGAGGAGAUUGUGCACAUGGACUUAAUGUUAAAUGAGGAAAUGCAGAGCAGGCAUUUUAUCACCAUUAGUAUUACUUGCUCCUCCAAAACCUCCUAUUCAAUAACACUGGUGUCAUGCAGACUCAAAGGUUCUGCCUAGGCUAAAUAAAACCCUAAAGGAUAUUAAAAGCAUAGCCACUCUUGAAAAGUCAUAGCAGACUGGGAGUUAGUUAGAUAUACUACAGACUGUAUUUUCUAAAACCAGUUUGCAUAGUACAGCUAACUCGAGCAGAUUUCUCAAUGUUUUAAUUUACAUUAAGCACAAUAAUUGCAUUAAAUAGAUUUACAUAUGCUUGUAAUAAUUCUUGCAGAUGAGAUAGGUGCUGGUAACUUUGUCAAAAUGAUAUUAUGUAUCAAAAAUUAUACUAAGGCAUAUUUAAGAGCCAUUGAGUCCCGAAAGAAAAUGAAAAUUCACAGUGAGACCAGACAGAGUGAAUUAAAUUUUAAUUUGUUCACUGCUAACUCUGAAGUUUCCAGUUGUUCAUAUGUUUAACAUGUUUCAGGUCAGGCUUAAUUUUGUAUUUCAAAAUUCAUUUUUUUUUAAACUGGAAUAGUAUUUGUCACACAGAAUUAAAUAUUGUAAGCUUUCAAAUGUAUAAAUAUUAUUUCAAGUUUUUGGUGUGAACUUAAGAUGAGUUGCUGAACAAUUCAUGAUUUCUUUGUAACUGACUCAUGAUUACUUUCCGUAUUUCUGUUAGAGAAAAAAUGAAGGGAAAGAAAGAAGAGAAAACAUUAAUCAGAACAAUUUAAGAUUAAGUAGCCAGUUACUUUUACUAUUAUUAUUUUCUUAUGCCUUUUUUAGAAAGGAAAUCAUUUGCUUUUUUAGAAAGCAAAUCAUGUCAUGAAAGUCACUGACUUCAGCAAAGUUAAUUCUGCAUAUACCAUGACUGACCAUAAAUCACAUUGUCAUGAAAGAAUGGGAACACGUUUAAGAAAACAGUAGUUUCCAAUCCUUUCAGUAAGGUGGCAAGAUAGAGCCACUGUCCUUUCUGUGACCAAUAACCAGACCUACAGAAAAAAAGCAAACCCGCCGUACAACAUGUGGGCAAAAGACUCAACAGAGUUGUUCUACAGAAUGCAUACACACAGAUAAACAUCCUGAGGGGUCCAUAAGAAAUGAGGCUAUUACAAAUGGGGCAUAGGCCAGAAGAUUCAAUGUAGUGGGUUGUAUUCAGUAUACAGGAUACUUGCUCAGCAUCCAUUCAUAAGUCACAUUUUGUUUUAAAGAAUCAUUAUGUUUGAGGACAGGUCAAUUUAUGAAGUCUCUAAACUGGACACACUAGGAGUAUUUGAAGAAACGUUUCCCACAUUUUAGCUGUUUUCCAAGUACCCACCUAUGAUGAUAGUUAGCUUGCCUGGGCCUUAGGCAGAAUGGCUGUUCCGUGGUCUUGGAAAUCUGAUUAUGCAAGAACACUGUGAUUUAAGUUACUAUAAAUUACCUCUAGCAAAAUAGUAAGCUCUUUGGAUAACUUUGAACACAAUUUCUAUUUUCAUGCCUUGUAUUAUUUGGACUAUUACAUAAAUUUAAAUAAAGUACCACUGAGUGCUAAAA
Numida meleagris (helmeted guineafowl) is the source of this 4739-nucleotide long non-coding RNA. RefSeq lists it as uncharacterized. The transcript is spliced from 2 exons. NCBI's taxonomy places the organism in Eukaryota, Metazoa, Chordata, Aves, Galliformes, Numididae. The record is from RefSeq and is a predicted model, not a curated record.